This 484-nucleotide ribosomal RNA is filed under the name uncultured bacterium. RNAcentral describes it as "partial 16S ribosomal RNA". It matches the Rfam family "Bacterial small subunit ribosomal RNA", at positions 28 to 523 of the family's 1533-position model. The record is from RNAcentral.
GACGAACGCUGGCGGCGUGCUUAACACAUGCAAGUCGAACGAUGAAGCCGGAGCUUGCUCUGGUGAAUUAGUGGCGAACGGGUGAGUAACACGUGAGUAACCUGCCCUUGACUCUGGGAUAACUGCGGGAAACUGUAGCUAAUACCGGAUACGACCCUCGGAGGCAUCUCCUGGGGGUGGAAAGAAUUUCGGUCAAGGAUGGACUCGCGGCCUAUCAGCUAGUUGGUGAGGUAAAGGCUCACCAAGGCGACGACGGGUAGCCGGCCUGAGAGGGUGACCGGCCACACUGGGACUGAGACACGGCCCAGACUCCUACGGGAGGCAGCAGUGGGGAAUAUUGCACAAUGGGCGCAAGCCUGAUGCAGCAACGCCGCGUGAGGGAUGACGGCCUUCGGGUUGUAAACCUCUUUUAGUAGGGAAGAAGCGAAGGUGACGGUACCUGCAGAAAAAGCCCCGGCUAACUUCGUGCCAGCAGCCGCCGUAA